Molecule: long non-coding RNA, 1123 nt
Organism: Acipenser ruthenus (sterlet)
Lineage: Eukaryota; Metazoa; Chordata; Actinopteri; Acipenseriformes; Acipenseridae
Exons: 3
Source: RefSeq, a predicted model, not a curated record
UUGUUUCCGUGUUGCAGCGAAAACCGGUGUUUUUACAGUUCCGGGCAGGCAGUUAAUUCUGAAGGAAACAACAACGCGAAACCUGAUGGAACGUUCCACUGCCUUUCCCUCCCGACCUCUCAGCAGAGUGGUUGUGACCAGCUGUACCCAUGGCGAUGAGCUGGGAGGAGUCUGUCUGGUGAGGGAGUGGCUGAGGCAGGGCAACACCCCCUUUCUGCACUGGCGCAGCUUCAGAGCUCAGACACUGUUAGCCAAUCCCAGAGCAACCAAGCAGAACAGGAGAUACCUGGAGACAGACCUGAACAGGUGCUUCACAGCAGAGAUAUUGAGGUCUCUCUCUCCCCUACUCUCCUCUGCAGUGUUUUGAGCUCCAGCAGCCCUUUGAUUACCCCCGAGACGAGGAGGGCGUCCUGACAGCCUGCAUCCACCCAGAGAGACAGGUCAGUGUGUGUGUGUGUGUCUGUCCUGACAGCCUGCAUCCACCCAGAGAGACAGGUCAGUGUGUGUGUGUGUGUCUGUCCUGACAGCCUGCAUCCACCCAGAGAGACAGGUCAGUGUGUGUGUGUCUGUCUGUCUGUCCUGACAGCCUGCAUCCACCCAGAGAGACAGGUCAGUGUGUGUGUGUGUGUCUGUCCUGACAGCCUGCAUCCACCCAGAGAGACAGGUCAGUGUGUGUGUGUGUGUCUGUCCUGACAGCCUGCAUCCACCCAGAGAGACAGGUCAGUGUGUGUGUGUCUGUCUGUCUGUUCUGACAGCCUGCAUCCACCCAGAGAGACAGGUCAGUGUGUGUGUGUGUGUCUGUCCUGACAGCCUGCAUCCACCCAGAGAGACAGGUCAGUGUGUGUGUGUCUGUCUGUCCUGACAGCCUGCAUCCACCCAGAGAGACAGGUCAGUGUGUGUGUGUCUGUCUGUCUGUCCUGUCAGCCUGUAUCCACCCAGAGAGACAGGUCAGUGUGUGUGUGUGUCUGUCUGUCUGUCCUGUCAGCCUGUAUCCACCCAGAGAGACAGGUCAGUGUGUGUGUGUCUGUCUGUCUGUCUGUCUGUCCUGUCAGCCUGUAUCCACCCAGAGAGAAAGGUCAGUGUGUGUGUGUCUGUCUGUCCUGACAGCCUGCAUCCACCCAGA